GACGAACGCUGGCGGCGUGCUUAACACAUGCAAGUCGAACGGAAAGGCCCUGCUUUUGUGGGGUGCUCGAGUGGCGAACGGGUGAGUAACACGUGAGUAACCUGCCCUUGACUUUGGGAUAACUUCAGGAAACUGGGGCUAAUACCGGAUAGGAGCUCCUGCUGCAUGGUGGGGGUUGGAAAGUUUCGGCGGUUGGGGAUGGACUCGCGGCUUAUCAGCUUGUUGGUGGGGUAGUGGCUUACCAAGGCUUUGACGGGUAGCCGGCCUGAGAGGGUGACCGGCCACAUUGGGACUGAGCUACGGCCCAGACUCGUCCGGGAGGCAGCAGUGGGGAAUAUUGCACAAUGGGCGGAAGCCUGAUGCAGCAACGCCGCGUGCGGGAUGCCGGCCUUCGGGUGGUAAACCGCUUUCGCCUGUGCCGAAGCGUGAGUGACGGUACUGGGUAAAGAAGCACCGGCUAACUCCGU
Molecule: ribosomal RNA, 467 nt
Filed under: uncultured bacterium
Lineage: Bacteria
Description: partial 16S ribosomal RNA
Rfam family: Bacterial small subunit ribosomal RNA
Source: RNAcentral